This 250-nucleotide ribosomal RNA is filed under the name uncultured prokaryote. RNAcentral's name for it is "partial 16S ribosomal RNA". It matches the Rfam family "Bacterial small subunit ribosomal RNA", at positions 524 to 773 of the family's 1533-position model. The record is from RNAcentral.
UACGGAAGGUCCGGGCGUUAUCCGGAUUUAUUGGGUUUAAAGGGAGCGUAGGCGGGUGCUUAAGCGUGUUGUGAAAAGUCGGGGCUCAACCCCGUCCGUGCAGCGCGAACUGGGCACCUUGAGUUCGCGGGAGGCACGCGGAAUUCGUGGUGUAGCGGUGAAAUGCUUAGAUAUCACGAAGAACUCCGAUUGCGAAGGCAGCGUGCCGUAGCGUUACUGACGUUGAAGCUCGAAGGUGCGGGGAUCGAAC